UAAAUUCAGCGUCCUGCUCACAUGGGAAAGGCUUUCUGAGAGUCAUGGACCUCACAUGCAAGAGCAUGAAACACCUGUGGUUUUUCCUCCUCCUUGUGGCAGCUCCCAGACGGGUCCUGUCCCAGGUGCAGCUGCAGCAGUGGGGCCCAGGACUGGUGAAGCCUUCGGAGACCCUGUCCCUCACCUGCGCUGUCUAUGGUUACUCCAUCAGUAGUGGUUACUGGUGGAACUGGAUCCGCCAGCCUCCAGGGAAGGGGCUGGAGUGGAUUGGGAGAAUCUAUUAUAGUGGGGGCACCUACUACAACCCGUCCCUCAAGAGUCGAGUCACCAUAUCAGCAGACCCGUCCAAGAACCAGUUCUCCCUGAGGCUGAACUCUGUGACCGCGGCGGACACGGCCGUGUAUUACUGUGCGAGACACAGUGAGGGGAGGUAAGUGUGA
Molecule: non-coding RNA, 440 nt
Organism: Sapajus apella (tufted capuchin)
Lineage: Eukaryota; Metazoa; Chordata; Mammalia; Primates; Cebidae
Source: the annotation of a RefSeq genome assembly